Molecule: long non-coding RNA, 297 nt
Organism: Platichthys flesus (European flounder)
Lineage: Eukaryota; Metazoa; Chordata; Actinopteri; Pleuronectiformes; Pleuronectidae
Exons: 3
Source: RefSeq, a predicted model, not a curated record
UGCCGGUCCUGUGGGUGUGUGCGGACGUUUAGCGUGAGCGCAGCACGUGUGGUCGCAAUUGUUUGUCGCGAGCCCAGCGUGAAGCUGUGUCUGUGUGCGAGUGUGUGCGACGGUGUCGGCGUCACCGUGGAUGCACGCUGUUUCUGCUUUAUUUUAAUGAAUUAAAGACGAAGGGAGAACAUGCAAACUGUGAAGACCCAAGUCAAGCUAGAAUUCAAACUGCUCCACCAUGCCGCCCCAACCCUAGAUAAAUUAGGAUGAAUCCUAUUAUUCGACUUUGUGUUCACUCCAAUAAGG